RNAcentral lists this long non-coding RNA (249 nucleotides) under Erythranthe guttata (spotted monkey flower). RNAcentral's name for it is "long non-coding RNA (EGUT_LNC003888)". Lineage: Eukaryota; Viridiplantae; Streptophyta; Magnoliopsida; Lamiales; Phrymaceae. The record is from RNAcentral.
AAUUUAGACCGGAUGGUCUGUUUUAAUAAGAAAAUCGGAUGCCAUAGGAUGAUUGACACGUGGAUAAUUUCAAUUAAAAUAUAAUUAGUAUUCUAAUAAUUGAAAAAAAAAAGGAAAAAAGAAAACCUCAGCAGGAAAAAAGAAAACCCCAGCAGAACCCAUAACCCCUCUAACCCUAAUUAUAAUAGCGUAAUUUAUUUAGAGUUGGACUUAAAAGUGCCACGUGUCAAAAAAUUAGUGGAAUCCGAU